RNAcentral lists this ribosomal RNA (383 nucleotides) under uncultured Alphaproteobacteria bacterium. RNAcentral describes it as "bacterial SSU rRNA". It matches the Rfam family "Bacterial small subunit ribosomal RNA", at positions 9 to 408 of the family's 1533-position model. The record is from RNAcentral. Lineage: Bacteria; Pseudomonadati; Pseudomonadota; Alphaproteobacteria.
GAGUUUUGAUCAUGGCUCAGAACGAACGCUGGCGGCAUGCCUAACACAUGCAAGUCGAACGGGAUCCGAGGCUUCGGCCUGGUGAGAGUGGCGGACGGGUGAGUAACGCGUGGGAACCUGCCCAAUGGUCUGGGAUAACCGCGGGAAACUGCGGCUAAUACCGGAUAAGCCCGAGAGGGGAAAGAUUUAUCGCCGAUGGAGGGGCCCGCGUCCGAUUAGGUAGUUGGUGAGGUAACGGCUCACCAAGCCCUACGAUCGGUAGCUGGUCUGAGAGGAUGAUCAGCCACACUGGGACUGAGAUACGGCCCAGACUCCUACGGGAGGCAGCAGUGGGAAUAUUGGACAAUGGGGGCAACCCUGAUCCAGCAAUGCCGCGUGAGUGA